Molecule: non-coding RNA, 187 nt
Organism: Arachis ipaensis
Lineage: Eukaryota; Viridiplantae; Streptophyta; Magnoliopsida; Fabales; Fabaceae
Source: RefSeq, a predicted model, not a curated record
CUUCGUGGGAUGGACGCUAUGGAUUUGUUGUCUGCACUGACAGUGCUGUCUAUGGCGAAGGACCUGCUAGGCCUACUGGAGGAGCUGCUGCUAUUGCCAUGCUUGUUGGUCCUGAUGCUCCCAUUGCAUUUGAAAGCAAAUUGAGGGCAAGCCACAUGUCUCAUGCUUAUGAUUUUUACAAGCCUAA